This 429-nucleotide ribosomal RNA is filed under the name Actinomycetes bacterium. RNAcentral describes it as "Actinobacteria bacterium partial 16S ribosomal RNA". It matches the Rfam family "Bacterial small subunit ribosomal RNA", at positions 355 to 776 of the family's 1533-position model. The record is from RNAcentral. Lineage: Bacteria; Bacillati; Actinomycetota; Actinomycetes.
UAGGGAAUCUUCCGCAAUGGGCGAAAGCCUGACGGAGCAACGCCGCGUGAGUGAUGAAGGUCUUCGGAUCGUAAAACUCUGUUAUUAGGGAAGAACAAAUGUGUAAGUAACUAUGCACGUCUUGACGGUACCUAAUCAGAAAGCCACGGCUAACUACGUGCCAGCAGCCGCGGUAAUACGUAGGUGGCAAGCGUUAUCCGGAAUUAUUGGGCGUAAAGCGCGCGUAGGCGGUUUUUUAAGUCUGAUGUGAAAGCCCACGGCUCAACCGUGGAGGGUCAUUGGAAACUGGAAAACUUGAGUGCAGAAGAGGAAAGUGGAAUUCCAUGGGUAGCGGUGAAAUGCGCAGGGAUAUGGAGGAACACCAGUGGCGAAGGCGACUUUCUGGUCUGUAACUGACGCUGAUGUGCGAAAGCGUGGGGAUCAAACAGG